This 1181-nucleotide long non-coding RNA is filed under the name Daphnia pulex (common water flea). RNAcentral describes it as "uncharacterized LOC124196250, transcript variant X1". The record is from RNAcentral. Lineage: Eukaryota; Metazoa; Arthropoda; Branchiopoda; Diplostraca; Daphniidae.
UAGAAGAACUGGAAAAGAAAUAGAAAUUGGUGGCUCUAGUAUAUUCACCUUAGGGGCCUUAGGGAUUAAUAAUUCGGCAAUUUUUCCGCAAUUAUGUAAAGUCUUCCGGGUGCAUAAGGAGUAAGGAAUAUGUUGGCUAUCACUAGGUGGCUAAAAUUAUGUCUGCCAGAUGGCGCGAGUGUCUUCGUUACUCAAGACGAAAUUCCGCCAUUUCUUAAAACACUGAUUGGAAACCACAUGUUGAAAACGUAUCGUUGGAUUGGAUUAAGUAAAUACGGCGUACUUUUCUUUCUUGACAUUUUUAUUCGUAAUAAUGGUAUUUAUCUGGUAACAGCUUAUAAUUUCUACAUGGCAAUUUUAUCUGAUCAUGUGGCCUCGGUGUGGCCUGAGCAGCUGAACAUUUUGCCAAAAUGUCUCUUUUUCCUGUACCAGCUUCACAUUGUCAGAAACACUUCAGGGAUUAACACCCUGGUAUCUGGUAACAGCCUAUAAUUUCUGCAUGGCAAUUUCAUCUGAUCAUGUGGCCUGAGCACCUGAACAUUUUGCCAAAAUGCCUCUUUUUCCUGUACCAGCUUCACGUUUGUCAGAAACACUUCAGAACAAUUCAGGAUUAACACCCUGGUGGAGUUUGAGCUUCUUUGUUGCUGCCCAACUUACACGUGGAUUUGACACAGCCAGCUGAGGGCUUUAAUUCUUGUUAAGCGUUUGUAUUCGCGUAGUUGCUGUCUGAUGUGGGACGUUGUUGCAGCCUAUGAUGGUGAAAGAUUUUUCUACAUCAAGUUCAAUUGGCCGUUCUUUGGUGCUGAUGUUGUGUUACCGAAGUUGCAUCAUAUUUUGUUAAAUUGUCAUCGUGACUAUUGCAGUUUACGUUUAUGAGUUCAGAAGCAACAAAAACAAAUAUGGGACGUUUAUUUCAACAAAUAAUAAACAUGUUUCCGGGAUUGGGAAAGGAAAGUGGAGGAUGUUGGAGGAGGGAGGGAUGAUAUUUGAAGUUUGGAUAAAAAUUCUGUUAAUCUAUUACCCUACCAAAUAAUCUCCAAACCCCACAAACAUAUACCUUCCAAUCCUUCAAACCCCGAAAACAUACACCUACUAACCCUUAAAUUUAUACCCAUAACCCUAAAAACCAAUGUUAAACCUUAACCAUGUAAUAUCUGUAAUAAAUAAAAAUAAAUGUUAUA